ACCUGUAUAGUUUAAAGGUUAAAACAUUUACCUCAUAAGUAAAUAAUGAAAGGUUCGAAUCCAUCUACAGGUA
This 73-nucleotide transfer RNA is filed under the name Huiozyma sinensis. RNAcentral's name for it is "Kazachstania sinensis tRNA-Met". It matches the Rfam family "tRNA". Rfam says of the family: Transfer RNA (tRNA) molecules are approximately 80 nucleotides in length. Their secondary structure includes four short double-helical elements and three loops (D, anti-codon, and T loops). The record is from RNAcentral. Lineage: Eukaryota; Fungi; Ascomycota; Saccharomycetes; Saccharomycetales; Saccharomycetaceae.